GAUGAACGCUGGCGGCGUGCCUAAUACAUGCAAGUCGAGCGAACGGACGAGAAGCUUGCUUCUCUGAUGUUAGCGGCGGACGGGUGAGUAACACGUGGAUAACCUACCUAUAAGACUGGGAUAACUUCGGGAAACCGGAGCUAAUACCGGAUAAUAUUUUGAACCGCAUGGUUCAAAAGUGAAAGACGGUCUUGCUGUCACUUAUAGAUGGAUCCGCGCUGCAUUAGCUAUUUGGUAAGGUAACGGCUUACCAAGGCAACGAUGCAUAGCCGACCUGAGAGGGUGAUCGGCCACACUGGAACUGAGACACGGUACAGACUCCUACGGGAGGCAGCAGUAGGGAAUCUUCCGCAAUGGGCGAAAGCAUGACGGAGCAACGCCGCGUGAGUGAUGAAGGUCUUCGGAUCGUAAAACUCUGUUAUUAGGGAAGAACAUAUGUGUAAGUAACUGUGCACAUCUUGACGGUACCUAAUCAGAAAGCCACGGCUAACUACGUG
RNAcentral lists this ribosomal RNA (497 nucleotides) under uncultured bacterium. Its description in RNAcentral is "partial 16S ribosomal RNA". It matches the Rfam family "Bacterial small subunit ribosomal RNA", at positions 28 to 507 of the family's 1533-position model. The record is from RNAcentral.